RNA transcript from Nematostella vectensis (starlet sea anemone), 1989 nucleotides. It is a transcript of the gene named homeobox protein Nkx-2.2a, with no coding region annotated. The transcript has 2 exons. NCBI's taxonomy places the organism in Eukaryota, Metazoa, Cnidaria, Anthozoa, Actiniaria, Edwardsiidae. The record is from RefSeq and is a predicted model, not a curated record.
AUCUGACUUCAGCCCAGAACGCAGCAUCACCGACCUAUCCAAAUAAUGGAGUUACAGAGCAGAGCACACGAGUGCACCCACAUACCAAUAGCCAGAAAACCUACAUCCUUCAUGAUUGCAGACCUUCUAAACCUCAGGGAAGCGGAUACUCUUGUCAGCACAUGCGCAGGGACACACGAACAAAGCAAAGAUGCUACAUGUCAUUUACAGCAAGCGGAAUCUGCCAUUCGCACAUGCGCAGAGACACCAGACAGCGUGCAGGAUUCGCAGCACAAGUGUGCAGAACAGAGAGGUAAGUAUUUUUCAGGUUCCACAGGUAUCCCAGAUAAUGAAGCCCAGUCCUCUAAGGCAAGGAAUAAGCGCCCGGUAUUUCAUCCCGACGUGGUAGCUCAGCUCGAGCAAGUAUUUGAGGAACGACGAUACAUCAGCGCAGACCAGCGGUUUGCACUCGCUAAGGAGCUCAACAUGACAGAGGAACAAGUCAAGAGUUGGUUCCACAACAAACGCACGGCCAUGACGAAAAAGCUCGCCGAGGCCGGCCAACGUGCUGCCAAACUUGCUUACCUACAGACUCUCGCCAGCAAGCUGCUGCCAGCGGAAUCCCCACAAGAUGCCAUGCCUCAAGGCCGUCUCCAUAGUUACGACAUCACGUCAGUUCGUUCUAAAAAAUAUCCAAAGUCAUCACGUUCGUAUAAAGACAACAUCUCUACAGCGCACUUGAGAAAAGCAAACGAGGCUGCCCAUUCCUAUGGCAGCUACCCUUCAAUUCCGCAUCUCGUGUACAGAUGGUCUGAGCCACCGCUGACCAGUGCUCCAGGGUACAUGCAUCUCGGCUUACCGGCUCCAGGUAUUCUCUCUUCAUCUUCGCUGGCUCUUCAGAAAGUCCCAUUUGGUUGUCUGCGCUCCUUAAAUCACUUCAGAAGAUAAGUAUACCACAACGCGAUACGAGAUCCCAUUGAGUUGUGUUGAGGUAAGAACAUUUAUUGAAUUCUCAAGUAACAGGGUGGUAAAGAGUAUUUUCGUGAUUCGUGAUUGGCCCUAAAUCAAAUUCGUGAUUCGUGAAAAGCCUAAAAAUAAAUUCGUGAAUUGUGAUCGAGCACUCUAUCGUGAUCUGUGAUUGGGGUAUUUUAACUUUCUCGACUCGUGAUUUUGCAUGGCUAAAUUCGUGAAAUGUGAUCGAGUACUCUAUCGUGAUCCGUGAUUGGGGUAUUUUUACUUUCGUGACUCGUGAUUCCGCAUGGCUAAAUUCGUGAAAUGUGACCGUAGACGCCGAGAAUAAUUAAAACACGAAAUGCAUGUUUUGCGACUGCAAAACAGUGCUCAACUACACAGGAGCCGUAGUACAAUCACUCCGAAUCGAUUGUAACGGGUUUUUUUUCGCGUCACGAUAUAUACAUUUAUACGUAGAAGUAAACAUUGACGUCAUUGCGUGUGAGUUUAACUGAGGAGUGGAUCAACCGCAGCGUUGAUCUAUGUAUAUCAAAUGAUAUAUUCAUAAUCAAAGCAAAAGUUAAAACCGUAAUUCGUGAAAGCUUCUUUUUUAAGUUCGUGAUUCGUGGAAACUAAUAACUUCGUGAUUCGUGAUGAGCACCCCCUCUUCACCACCCUGAAGUAAGGACUGAAAUAAUGUCAAUUUUAUAUACCAUCUAUUGCAGUGUUAAAAUGUGUUUAGCUGUUACUUGUGGUGUUGUCUUGAUUUUUUUUCUAUUUACUCCACAGAGGAAGACCUCUUACUUGUUGCAGGCCACGUGUCUUGACCAUCCUGGACUGGGUAGCUGAGACCGAUCUAGUAAGGGUCGAAGAAAGAAGACAGCCCAUUCGUAUUAAAAUCGCGCAAGGAUAAAUGCUACCAAGAGCUUCAAAACAGAGAAAUAGAUGAGGAUCCAUGCAUAUACGAUCAGCAAAUUUGUAGAUAAAGAGAGGAGAGUUGUCAUCCAAGACUGAUGUAUUAAUGUAACUAUUGGGAAAUAAAAUCCAGUUGUAAACAAA